This 253-nucleotide ribosomal RNA is filed under the name uncultured bacterium. Its description in RNAcentral is "partial 16S ribosomal RNA". It matches the Rfam family "Bacterial small subunit ribosomal RNA", at positions 524 to 776 of the family's 1533-position model. The record is from RNAcentral.
UACGUAGGGGGCAAGCGUUGUCCGGAAUUAUUGGGCGUAAAGAGCGUGUAGGCGGUCCGGUAAGUCGGCUGUGAAAGUCCAGGGCUCAACCCUGGGAUGCCGGUCGAUACUGCCGGACUAGAGUUCGGAAGAGGCGAGUGGAAUUCCCGGUGUAGCGGUGAAAUGCGCAGAUAUCGGGAGGAACACCUAUGGCGAAGGCAGCUCGCUGGGACGUUACUGACGCUGAGACGCGAAAGCGUGGGGAGCGAACCGG